GGUGGUUUUGGAUGGGCAUGCGUCUGAUUAGUUAGUUGGCGGGGUAACGGCCCACCAAGACGAUGAUCAGUAGGGGAACUGAGAGGUUGAUCCCCCACACUGGCACUGAGAUACGGGCCAGACUCCUACGGGAGGCAGCAGUAGGGAAUAUUGGUCAAUGGGUGCAAGCCUGAACCAGCCAUGCCGCGUGCAGGAAGAAGGCGUUAUGCGUUGUAAACUGCUUUUGCCAGGGGAUAAAAUAGCUUUGCGAAGCUAGUUGAAGGUACCUGGUGAAUAAGCCACGGCUAACUACGUGCCAGCAGCCGCGGUAAUACGUAGGUGGCGAGCGUUGUCCGGAUUUAUUGGGUUUAAAGGGUGCGUAGGCGGCCCUGUAAGUCAGUGCUGAAAUAUCCCGGCUUAACCGGGAGGGUGGCAUUGAUACUGCGGGGCUUGAGUGGAGUCGAAGUAGGCGGAAUUGACGGUGUAGCGGUGAAAUGCUUAGAUAUCGUCAAGAACACCGAUAGUGAAGACAGUUUACUAGGCUUUUACUGACGCUGAGGCACGAAAGUGUGGGGAUCAAACAGGAUUAGAU
RNAcentral lists this ribosomal RNA (571 nucleotides) under uncultured bacterium. Its description in RNAcentral is "bacterial SSU rRNA". It matches the Rfam family "Bacterial small subunit ribosomal RNA", at positions 214 to 783 of the family's 1533-position model. The record is from RNAcentral.